Molecule: long non-coding RNA, 1571 nt
Organism: Lagopus muta (rock ptarmigan)
Lineage: Eukaryota; Metazoa; Chordata; Aves; Galliformes; Phasianidae
Exons: 3
Source: RefSeq, a predicted model, not a curated record
ACCUUGAAAGACAGCACAGGUGUAAGAGAGUGUAGCUUCACUUCCUCAUUGCUGGAUAUCCUGACCUGAUUGAGCAACUUAAGAUGCAGGGUGAAGCAGAGACAUGCCUGAAUUUAUCACUGGCUAUACCUACUCCGUGAAUUGGUUGUUCUUAAUCAUCUAGAUCUUGGUCUGGAUGGAGUGAUCUAUAACCCAUCACAGCUUGCAUGACUGAGUUCCCCUGGACAUUUGGGGAAAUGUGAAUGUGCAAGCAUGGAGCUGGGGCUGAGCAUCCCUUUAGAGCCUUGGAGGGGCUUAAGGCAGACAGCUGAAGAACCAUACGGCAGGAGGAGCUUACUGGAGCUCUACAGAGUGGUGCAAGAGUAAAUGAUGGUUCUCGAGGUUUUUCAUAAAAUCUUAGAAUCCUGAGACUUUGUACAGAAAAACUUAGUUUCAUUCUGAAGGGAGCUUGCAGCACUCUGUAAAAAAAAUUCAGCCUGUCACUGUAUCUGCUGGUUGAAGAAGUUGUAAAAGACAAAUUACCUUGGAAGUAACACACUAAAACGUGCAAAGAGGUUUCUUCAUCUAAAUUAUCUCUUAAGGUGCUGAUAAGAAAUUCCUUCCUUCCCACUCCCAUCCCAAACCUCAUCAUGAAUUCUCACUGAAAACAACUCUCCCAGUCUCCAAAGAGGUGAGGCAACUCCCUGCACUCCACCCACUUUUCUGCUCCAGCACAGACUUUAAAGCUGAGAAUUGAAAUUCCACAGAAGAAGGCUGCUUUUUGCGUAGUCAUUGCAUCAAUCACACAGGGUUUGCAGAAGUUAAUGAGUACAAGCUGCCUCAUGAGAGAGCAUGCAGAUGUCCACUUGUUUGUAGAGUGACUGAGCCUGAUAAUCUGAUCACAAGUUUGGCAUUAAUUUCACGGCAUGGCUGUAUGGGCAUUUCCCUUCCACAUGUAAGAUGGUGACUAGCAACAAGCACCACUGUCAGUCAGUUAACAUACUUAGGAAUCUGUUUGAUGUUAGCAAAGAGUUGAGCUGAUGGCACUUUGUAGCCCCCUGAAAUCCUGCCAUGCAAAUCCUGUCUGCCUCAAAGGCCCCUGGACAUCUGAGCUGGCUUUGGAAAUACCAGCCUCGUUAGCAGUGACAUUAGCGGAUAUUCUUAAAUCAGGAUGAUUUAGUUAGUUGCUAGGCUGCUCUGCAGUCUGAUGCUUGAGAGAAUAAUUUUUAAUGGCAGGGGAUCUCUCUGAGAUGGGACUGUCCCAGUUGAUGUCAGACACAAACUCAGCUUCCCUGACAUCAUCUGGCAACAUGAUAUAGAAAAAAUGACAUACAUCAUGGAAAAGGCAUGAGGCACACCCUGACCUCUGCACACUUGCCACCCAACAAAAAAAAAAAAAAAAAGGCUGCAUAGCUAGACUGUUUCCAUUAGCUGAAGUAAGCACCACUUUAGCAAAAGUAGGAAGGAGACGUAACUUCUAUUGAAAUAUCUGAGUGCUUUCUAACAAGGAGGUCUUUCAAAUGUUUAAUGUUAUUUUCCUGAGACCAUAUUAUAGACCAUAAUAGCAGUGUUGUGCAGGAGCAGUUUGGCCC